AGAGUUUGAUCCUGGCUCAGGACGAACGCUGGCGGCGUGCUUAAUACUUGCAAGUCGGGCGAGGUUACUGUUUUGGAUCCCUUCGGGGUGAAGAAGCUUUAACCUAGCGGCGGACGGGUGAGUAACGCGUGGGUAACCUACCCCAAAGUCCGGGAUAACAGCGGGAAACCGCUGCUAAUACCGGAUGUCUUUACCUUGGGGCAUCUUGAGGUAAAGAAAGGCAACGCUUUGGGAUGGGCCCGCGUCCCAUUAGCUAGUUGGUGAGGUAACGGCUCACCAAAGCGACGAUGGGUAGCCGGCCUGAGAGGGUGGACGGCCACACUGGGACUGAGACACGGCCCAGACUCCUACGGGAGGCAGCAGUAGGGAAUAUUGCGCAAUGGACGGAAGUCUGACGCAGCGACGCCGCGUGAGCGAUGAAGGUCUUCGGAUCGUAAAGCUCUGUCCUUGGGGAAGAAGGCGAAAGCUUGACGGUACCCAAGAAGAAAGCCCCGGCUAACUACGUGCCAGCAGCCGCGGUAAUACGUAGGGGGCGAGCGUUGUCCGGAAUUACUGGGCGUAAAGGGCGUGUAGGCGGCCUGAUAAGUCAGGUGUGAAAUUCCAAGGCUUAACCUUGGAGCUGCACUUGAAACUGUUGGGCUUGAGGGCAGGAGAGGGAAGCGGAAUUCCCAGUGUAGCGGUGAAAUGCGUAGAUAUUGGGAGGAACACCAGUGGCGAAAGCGGCUUCCUGGACUGCACCUGACGCUGAGGCGCGAAAGCUAGGGGAGCGAACGGGAUUAGAUACCCCGGUAGUCCUAGCCGUAAACGAUGGGUACUAGGUGUGGGAGGUAUCGACCCCUUCCGUGCCGCAGUUAACGCAAUAAGUACCCCGCCUGGGGGAGUACGCCGCAAGGCUGGAACUCAAAUGAAUUGACGG
RNAcentral lists this ribosomal RNA (916 nucleotides) under uncultured bacterium. Its description in RNAcentral is "bacterial SSU rRNA". It matches the Rfam family "Bacterial small subunit ribosomal RNA", at positions 8 to 916 of the family's 1533-position model. The record is from RNAcentral.